RNAcentral lists this transfer RNA (93 nucleotides) under Streptomyces narbonensis. RNAcentral's name for it is "tRNA-Pro(cgg)". The record is from RNAcentral. Lineage: Bacteria; Bacillati; Actinomycetota; Actinomycetes; Kitasatosporales; Streptomycetaceae.
GUUCCGGGUCGUCGUCGGAUGGGGUGGCGUCGGCCUCGGGGGCCGCCUCGGGAGCUGGGCCCGGUUCCGGGCUCGGGUCCCGGCUCGGUUCGC